Molecule: long non-coding RNA, 1483 nt
Filed under: Bos grunniens (domestic yak)
Lineage: Eukaryota; Metazoa; Chordata; Mammalia; Artiodactyla; Bovidae
Description: lncRNA (ENSBGRG00000022801.1)
Source: RNAcentral
GCUCAUUUCACAAAUGAACGACCUGCAUUCAAGUCCUAGUCUCAAGUUGUUCUUUAGGGAGAAUCUGAACUAAGAUAUUUGUACCAGAAAUAGCCCUAGAAAACAGACCCUGGAAAUGUCUUCCUGGUGGUUGGCUAGUGUCGCCAAGUUGUGCCCAAUUCUUUGUGACCCCGUGGACUGCAUCGCGCCAGGCCUCUCUGUCCCUCACCAUCUCCUGGAGUUUCCUGACUGUAGUUCUAUGAGAACCCCUGAGGGAGACUGGCUUGCUGCUGCUGCUGCUGCUGCUGGAGACUGGCCUAGGGGAGGUCAGUCAGCCCCAGAACCAUGAGAGAUAACAAUAAAAUGAUUGAUUGUUGUUUUAAGCCACAGUUGGGUGGUGAUUUGUUCCACAGCAAUAGGUAACACAAACAGACCCCAUUUCAGAAUAAUGUUUCCAAAGGCUAAAAUGUUGGGUUGGCCAAAAAGUUCAUUUGUAUUUUUUCUGGAUACAAAUGGAAAAACCAGAACAAACUUUUGGCCAAUCCAGUAGCAUAUAUAAGAUUACAGAGGCAUAUUGAAAGAUUAAAAACUCAAUAUAUGAUAAUACAUGUGCUUUUUAUCAAUGUAUUAAAUGAGAUUUAUGUUGCAUAUAAUGACUGCUAUAAUUUCAAUGUGUUGAUGAAUGUUUGGACGUGUCCACCCAAUGAAAAUUUUCUGUGAUAUAAAUGAUAUAAAGAUAUUGGCUACUUUUUUGAUAAAGUCACAGGUACUUCUAAUACUGUUGCCAAAUGCAGCUUUUAUUUAUUAUGGAAGGAAAAGCUAAAUUUCAGUUACAGAUGAGUGAAAAGAAAGGAAUGGAGGUUUUUAUUUAUUUACUUCCCGUCCAAGUAAUUUAUUCCUCUUUCUCCCCCACACCCAACUGAGAACCAUAGGAAGCUGAUGCUUGUGAGAAUCUCAGGAAUUAUAAACCAAUCCUGCCUUUCCCCUAUGUUGGAAGUGAGGGGUGUGACAUUAAGUCUGAUGACAAAUUGAGAUUAUAAUGGAGUCAUCAUAACUCAGGCAUAUAAAAAUGGAGUGGGGUGGCCAUUUAGAAUCUGCUCUCAGACAUUCCCAAGUUCACCCCUGAGAACUUGAACUUGCUGUAAACUGUACCUAUGCCAAGGACACCAGCCAUUUUAAAAACAUCUGCUAAUUGCAACCUUGAGUCUCAAGGUUUUUCCCCUUAUAACUGAUUAUGCAACCAUUUCAGACCCCAACCAAUCCUUACUUAAUAAGCACCCUUGCUUCUUGCCCAUUCCAAUUAUGAUUCUUAAUAAGCCACUCUUCUAACUAACUGUAACCUUGCAGUUUUUGCCUUUAUAAACCUCCUGCAUUUUGUAGUUUGGUGGAACAUGAUUCAAACUUGAAUCAUGUGUCUUAAAUCUGUGUCUCUUGGGCUGCAGUCCUAACAAACCCUGAAUAAGCAUCUUUAAUUUCAGUCAUGUUUCUAUUUCUCAAAUUUUGG